This 494-nucleotide ribosomal RNA is filed under the name uncultured bacterium. RNAcentral's name for it is "partial 16S ribosomal RNA". It matches the Rfam family "Bacterial small subunit ribosomal RNA", at positions 28 to 507 of the family's 1533-position model. The record is from RNAcentral.
GACGAACGCUGGCGGCGUGCUUAACACAUGCAAGUCGAACGGAAAGGCCUGCUUUCCCUUGUGGAUUGCGGGUGCUCGAGUGGCGAACGGGUGAGUAACACGUGAGUGAUCUGCCCCCAACUUGGGUAUAAGCCUGGGAAACUGGGUCUAAUUCCCGAUAGGACUGCAGGGUGGUGCCUGUGGUGGAAAACGAUUUUCUAGUGGUUGGGGAUGAGCUCGCGGCCUAUCAGCUGGUUGGUGGGGUAAUGGCCUACCAAGGCGGCGACGGGUAGCCGGCCUGGGAGGGUGGACGGGCACAUUGGGACUGAGAUACGGCCCAGACUCCUACGGCAGGCAGCAGUGGGGAAUAUUGCACAAUGGGCGGAAGCCUGAUGCAGCGACGCCGCGUGGGGGAUGACGGCCUUCGGGUUGUAAACUCCUUUCGACCGCGAGGAAGCCACCUGGUUGGAAGGGUGGUGACGGUAGUGGUAGAAGAAGCACCGGCUAACUACGUG